Arachis duranensis is the source of this 1241-nucleotide long non-coding RNA. RefSeq lists it as uncharacterized. The transcript is spliced from 4 exons. NCBI's taxonomy places the organism in Eukaryota, Viridiplantae, Streptophyta, Magnoliopsida, Fabales, Fabaceae. The record is from RefSeq and is a predicted model, not a curated record.
UAAAGCCUCCAACCCAGCAGCCGAAACCCUACCUACCUUCCCUUUCACCCAUGGACAGCAACACCCAUGGUUUCCCCUUCCAUGACCGAAAGUAACAGAAUCAAAGAGGGAAAGGGAAACUGAGCUGCGGCGAGGAAGGGAGGAGGGAGCUCAUCGCCGCCAUCGCGUCUCACCGCCACAGCAGUCCAUGCUGCCAGGGACACUGUCGAACCACCACGUUGCCACCGAUUUGCCGCCGUCAAAGUUUCCUGCAUCGCCACUGUUUGCGCAGAAGAGGGUUUGAGGAAAAGCAGCUAUCGCGCGCGAGCCAGAGGAGCUCGUCCUCGCCGAUCUGACGCCGUCGGGGUAACCGCGCCGUCGUCCUUGUCAGCUCCGAACGAGAAGAACGAUGGGGCUUUGUUUCUGCUUCCAUGGUUCGCUGUGAGUGGGCGACGUUGGGAGAGAGAGGGAGUCGCUGUGGAGCCACGAGCUGCGCCGGUCGCUGCCGCGCCGCGUCGGAGAGGAAGGCUGAGAUUGAGCACCGCUGGGAGAGAGGACGACGCGAGCUAGAGGUCCGGUCGCCGCUGUGCUAUGGAGCAGAUUGAACCGCGCCGCGCUGUUGGGGUUCUCAUCGUCGCCGGAAAAGGAUUCAGGCCGCCGCAGGUGUCGCGGUCAGAGGAGGAAGCUGUGCCACUAUGUUUUGAUCGUCGAGAGUGGUUCUGUGACUUUCGGGAUCACCGCCGGAGCUCCGGGCUGAGCCUCUGCCGCUUGAGACUCUCCUGCCAUCGUUGGAAAUGGUUGUCGAUGUCGUGAUCGGAAUUCGUCACCGCUGCCGCUUGAGAUGGCUGCUGGGCUGCCACCAAACCGGUUCGAAGACCGUCGCCGUUUUUGGUUCAGCCGUUUCUCCUUCAGUUCGAGUUGUUGAGAUUAUGGAGGAAGCAAGUGGAGCCGAGUUGUUGGUUUCCGUCAUUUCGAGUUGAGGCGAAAAGGACUCGGUGAGGCGUUUGGACUAUGGAUUUGCGUUUUGAGGAUAUGGGCGCAGAAGUCACGAAGAGUUUAUCUAUUUGUUAUUGAGAUGCUCUGUAUUGCUUUAGAUUAUUAUUUUUGUACCCUCGCCUUUAUCUUAAUAUAUUCUGUAAGAGAGAUAGGAAUUGUAUUAGGUAAUGUUUGUAGUAUUACUUAUAUAUAUGUAUGUAUGGAUGUACUCUUGAUGAAAUCUUUUAAGUUGUAUGGUAUCUAUGGAUGUACGUUAUCGAACGGAA